Molecule: non-coding RNA, 31 nt
Filed under: Canis lupus familiaris (dog)
Lineage: Eukaryota; Metazoa; Chordata; Mammalia; Carnivora; Canidae
Source: RNAcentral
CCUGUGCAACAUAGCGAGACCCCGUCUCUUU